RNAcentral lists this ribosomal RNA (492 nucleotides) under uncultured bacterium. Its description in RNAcentral is "partial 16S ribosomal RNA". It matches the Rfam family "Bacterial small subunit ribosomal RNA", at positions 29 to 507 of the family's 1533-position model. The record is from RNAcentral.
AGUGAACGCUGGCGGUAGGCCUAACACAUGCAAGUCGAACGGCAGCACAGUAAGAGCUUGCUCUUACGGGUGGCGAGUGGCGGACGGGUGAGGAAUACAUCGGAAUCUACUUUUUCGUGGGGGAUAACGUAGGGAAACUUACGCUAAUACCGCAUACGACCUACGGGUGAAAGCAGGGGAUCUUCGGACCUUGCGCGAUUGAAUGAGCCGAUGUCGGAUUAGCUAGUUGGCGGGGUAAAGGCCCACCAAGGCGACGAUCCGUAGCUGGUCUGAGAGGAUGAUCAGCGACACUGGAACUGAGACACGGUCCAGACUCCUGCGGGAGGCAGCAGUGGGGAAUAUUGGGCAAUGGGCGCAAGCCUGAUCCAGCCAUACCGCGUGGGUGAAGAAGGCCUUCGGGUUGUAAAGCCCUUUUGUUGGGAAAGAAAAGCAGCAGGUUAAUACCCCGCUGUUCUGACGGUACCCAAAGAAUAAGCACCGGCUAACUUCGUG